RNAcentral lists this ribosomal RNA (1542 nucleotides) under Triticum aestivum (bread wheat). RNAcentral describes it as "partial small subunit ribosomal RNA". Lineage: Eukaryota; Viridiplantae; Streptophyta; Magnoliopsida; Poales; Poaceae. The record is from RNAcentral.
AUGGCGGCGGGGGCGCAGCAGCCGAGCAUAGUGCCCACAGAGCUGGAGCAGCAGAUUUUCGGGCGCCUUCUCGAUGUUGUCCACCACGGAGGCCUCGGCACCCAGCUCCGCGUCGCCGGCGGAUGGGUCAGAGACAAGCUAUUGGGGAAAAACUCUACUGACAUUGACAUCGCGCUUGAUGACUUGACCGGCAAAGAAUUCUGUGAGAAAAUAACUGACUACUACGAGAAGGUUAUCAGCCAUGAGCUGAAAACACCUUGUGUUAUCCCAUGCAAACCUGGCCAAUCUAAGCACUUGGAAACCGCAAAGAUAAUACUAUCUGACAUCUCUGACAUCACGAUUGAUUUUGUCAACUUGAGGUCUGAAAAAUAUGCUGAAAACAGUCGUAUUCCCACUGCGGAGUAUGGUAUGCCCGAAGAAGAUGCAUUCCGCAGGGACCUAACAAUUAAUAGCUUAUUCUAUAAUAUCAACACGAACUUGGUGGAAGAUUUAACUCGAAGAGGUCUUGAAGAUCUGAAGAAAGGCCUUAUUGUUACUCCUUUACCAGCCAAAGUUACAUUCCUCGAUGAUCCCCUGAGGGUUCUUCGAGCAAUCCGAUUUGCUGCUAGAUUCAGCUUUACAUUAGCUGGAAAUUUGAAAGAAGCCGCUUCUGAUGAAAAAGUGAAGUUGAAUCUUCGUAGCAAGAUUAGCAGAGAACGCAUUGGUCAGGAGGUUGACCACAUGAUGUCAGGCAAAUAUCCGGUUGAUGCAAUGUGCCAUAUCCGUGAUUUGGGAUUAUUUUACAUUGUUUUUGCAUUUCCUGAAAAAACAGUUCCUCCAGUUCUCGACAAACAUGAUUGGCUAUGUGUUUCACAUAUUGAAGCAGCAUGGAAUCUUGCACAAUCAAUUGGCUGCUCGGUUUUCAGAGGUGGUUCUGGUUCCAUGUCGCAGGAUGAACAGAGAAGGCUUUGCAUGUAUAGUGCACUAUUUACUCCAGUUCGAAAUAUGGUGUACACGAAGAAAAAGGAGGUCGUUCGCUAUAUUAUUGGAAACUCUCUGAAGUUGAAUGGUUCUGAUGCUGAAGCGAUUGUCCAAAUACAUGCUGCAAGUGACAAGUUUGCCGAUUUAAUUAUUUUCCUCGAGUCAAAUGGAAAUCUGGAAACUGUUAAAGAGAACCCGAAUGACCCCAUCUCAUUCCGAUGCUUUACCACCUUUGAGGACUGCGGUGGAGGUGUCUUUGAAGUCCGCAGUGCAAAUGGUUCCUUCAGCCAGCAGGAUGAGCUAAAUAGAAGGAAAGAGAUAUAUAUCAGAGUUGAGCGUUUAAUAACUGACCUCGAUCUUGAAGGUGCAUGGAAGAAGAUCAAACCGCUGCUCGAUGGGAACGACAUUAUGGGAGUUUUGGACAUCGAAGAAGGUCCCUUGGUUAAAGAAUGGGUAUACACUGAUGCUUCCCUUCCCUUUAAGGAAAGGCUAGUGAAGUGGCAGCUUGCGCAUCCCAAAGGUACCGCGGAGGAGUGCCGUGAGUGGAUAAAGCAGUCCAAAUGUCAGGAAAAGGAAAUGUAG